AAGUCGUAACAAGGUUUCCGUAGGUGAACCUGCGGAAGGAUCAUUAACGAGUUUUGAAGUGGGUUUGAUGCUGGCCUUCCCAGGCAUGUGCUCGCCCUACUCUUCAUCCACUCACACCUGUGCACCUAUAAAAUGUUGAAAGAUUCAUCCCCUAGACUUCGUCAGGGGUGCGGUUAGGGGAGACCUUGACCGUUGGGUUGAAUCUUUUGCGUUUUAACUUUCUAUAAACUCUUGUAUGUUGUAGAAUGUCUUAAGGCCUACGGGCUUGUAUAAAUUGAAAUACAACUUUCAACAACGGAUCUCUUGGCUCUC
This 312-nucleotide unclassified non-coding RNA is filed under the name air metagenome. RNAcentral describes it as "partial contains small subunit ribosomal RNA, internal transcribed spacer 1, and 5.8S ribosomal RNA". The stretch from base 1 to 46 matches the Rfam family "Eukaryotic small subunit ribosomal RNA", at positions 1786 to 1831 of the family's 1831-position model. The record is from RNAcentral.